This 718-nucleotide ribosomal RNA is filed under the name uncultured organism. RNAcentral's name for it is "bacterial SSU rRNA". It matches the Rfam family "Bacterial small subunit ribosomal RNA", at positions 95 to 847 of the family's 1533-position model. The record is from RNAcentral.
GUGGCGGACGGGUGAGUAACGCGUGAGAAUCUGCCUUGGGGUCGGGGACAACCACUGGAAACGGUGGCUAAUACCGGAUAAGCCUUUGGGUAAAGNAUUAUUGCCCCAAGAGGAGCUCGCGUCUGAUUAGCUAGUUGGUGAGGUAAAAGCUCACCAAGGCAGCGAUCAGUAGCUGGUCUGAGAGGACGAUCAGCCACACUGGGACUGAGACACGGCCCAGACUCCUACGGGAGGCAGCAGUGGGGAAUUUUCCGCAAUGGGCGAAAGCCUGACGGAGCAAGACCGCGUGAGGGAGGAAGGCUCUUGGGUUGUAAACCUCUUUUCUCAGGGAAGAAGCUCUGACGGUACCUGAGGAAUCAGCCUCGGCUAACUCCGUGCCAGCAGCCGCGGUAAUACGGAGGAGGCAAGCGUUAUCCGGAAUUAUUGGGCGUAAAGCGUCCGCAGGUGGCGAUUCAAGUCUGCUGUCAAAGCACGGGGCUUAACUCCGUUAAGGCAGUGGAAACUGAAUAGCUAGAGUGCCGUAGGGGUAGAGGGAAUUCCCGGUGUAGCGGUGAAAUGCGUAGAGAUCGGGAAGAACAUCGGUGGCGAAAGCGCUCUACUGGACGGCAACUGACACUCAGGGACGAAAGCUAGGGGAGCGACUGGGAUUAGAUACCCCAGUAGUCCUAGCUGCAAACGAUGGAUACUAGGUGUAGCUUGUAUCGACCCGAGCUGUGCC